CCUGAUGCAACCACUCCGCGUGAGGGAUGACGGCCUUCGGGUUGUAAACCUCUUUCAGUGCCGAUUACGCGCAAGUGACGGAAGGUACAUAAUAAGCACCGGCCACCUACCUGCCAGAACCCGUGGUAAUACGUCGGGUGAGAGCGUUGUCCGGAAUUACUGGGCGUAUUUAGCUCGUAGGCGGUUUGUCGCGUCGUCUGUUAAAACCCGCAGUUCAACUGCGGGCUUGCAGGCGAUACGGGCUGACUUUAUUUAUUAAGGGGAGACUGGAAUUCCGGGUGCAGCGGUGAAAUGCGCAUAUUUCAGGAGGAACACCGGUGGCGAAGGCGGGUCUCUGGGUAGUAACUGACGCUGAGGAUCGAAAGCGUGGGUAGCGAACAGGAUUAGAUACCCUGGUAGUCCACGCCUUAAACGGUGGGCGCUAGGUGUGGGUUACCUUCCACGGGAUCCGUGCCGUAGCUAACGCAUUAAGCGCCCCGCCUGGGGAGUACGGCCGCAAGGUUAAAACUCAAAGGAAUUGACGGGGGCCCGCACAAGCGGCGGAGCAUGUGGAUUAAUUCGAUGCAACGCGAACAAUCUUACCUGGCUUUUGACAU
RNAcentral lists this ribosomal RNA (596 nucleotides) under Rhodococcus sp. S67-6. RNAcentral describes it as "bacterial SSU rRNA". It matches the Rfam family "Bacterial small subunit ribosomal RNA", at positions 382 to 987 of the family's 1533-position model. Lineage: Bacteria; Bacillati; Actinomycetota; Actinomycetes; Mycobacteriales; Nocardiaceae. The record is from RNAcentral.